GCCUGGGUGGCGGAAUUGGUAGACGCAAGGGACUUAAAAUCCCUCGGGUACCUGUACCCGUACCGGUUCGAUUCCGGUCCCGGGCACCA
Molecule: transfer RNA, 89 nt
Filed under: Deltaproteobacteria bacterium
Lineage: Bacteria; Pseudomonadati; Myxococcota; Myxococcia
Description: tRNA-Leu
Rfam family: tRNA
About the family: Transfer RNA (tRNA) molecules are approximately 80 nucleotides in length. Their secondary structure includes four short double-helical elements and three loops (D, anti-codon, and T loops). Further hydrogen bonds mediate the characteristic L-shaped molecular structure. tRNAs have two regions of fundamental functional importance: the anti-codon, which is responsible for specific mRNA codon recognition, and the 3' end, to which the tRNAs corresponding amino acid is attached (by aminoacyl-tRNA synthetases). tRNAs cope with the degeneracy of the genetic code in two manners: having more than one tRNA (with a specific anti-codon) for a particular amino acid; and 'wobble' base-pairing, i.e. permitting non-standard base-pairing at the 3rd anti-codon position.
Source: RNAcentral